RNAcentral lists this ribosomal RNA (257 nucleotides) under Proteus mirabilis. RNAcentral describes it as "partial 23S ribosomal RNA". It matches the Rfam family "Bacterial large subunit ribosomal RNA", at positions 1652 to 1892 of the family's 2925-position model. The record is from RNAcentral. Lineage: Bacteria; Pseudomonadati; Pseudomonadota; Gammaproteobacteria; Enterobacterales; Morganellaceae. RNAcentral also lists the same sequence under 1 other name.
AACCGACACAGGUGGUCAGGUAGAGAAUACUCAGGCGCUUGAGAGAACUCGGGUGAAGGAACUAGGCAAAAUGGUGCCGUAACUUCGGGAGAAGGCACGCUGGCGGUAGGUAAAGUCCCUCGCGGACAGAGCUGAAGCCAGUCGAAGAUACCAGCUGGCUGCAACUGUUUAUUAAAAACACAGCACUGUGCAAACACGAAAGUGGACGUAUACGGUGUGACGCCUGCCCGGUGCUGGAAGGUUAAUUGAUGGGGUCA